AGGUGAUCCAACCGCAGGUUCCCCUACGGUUACCUUGUUACGACUUCACCCCAGUCAUGAAUCACAAAGUGGUAAGCGCCCUCCCGAAGGUUAAGCUACCUACUUCUUUUGCAACCCACUCCCAUGGUGUGACGGGCGGUGUGUACAAGGCCCGGGAACGUAUUCACCGUGGCAUUCUGAUCCACGAUUACUAGCGAUUCCGACUUCAUGGAGUCGAGUUGCAGACUCCAAUCCGGACUACGACGCACUUUAUGAGGUCCGCUUGCUCUCGCGAGGUCGCUUCUCUUUGUAUGCGCCAUUGUAGCACGUGUGUAGCCCUGGUCGUAAGGGCCAUGAUGACUUGACGUCAUCCCCACCUUCCUCCAGUUUAUCACUGGCAGUCUCCUUUGAGUUCCCGGCCGGACCGCUGGCAACAAAGGAUAAGGGUUGCGCUCGUUGCGGGACUUAACCCAACAUUUCACAACACGAGCUGACGACAGCCAUGCAGCACCUGUCUCACGGUUCCCGAAGGCACAUUCUCAUCUCUGAAAACUUCCGUGGAUGUCAAGACCAGGUAAGGUUCUUCGCGUUGCAUCGAAUUAAACCACAUGCUCCACCGCUUGUGCGGGCCCCCGUCAAUUCAUUUGAGUUUUAACCUUGCGGCCGUACUCCCCAGGCGGUCGACUUAACGCGUUAGCUCCGGAAGCCACGCCUCAAGGGCACAACCUCCAAGUCGACAUCGUUUACGGCGUGGACUACCAGGGUAUCUAAUCCUGUUUGCUCCCCACGCUUUCGCACCUGAGCGUCAGUCUUCGUCCAGGGGGCCGCCUUCGCCACCGGUAUUCCUCCAGAUCUCUACGCAUUUCACCGCUACACCUGGAAUUCUACCCCCUCUACGAGACUCAAGCUUGCCAGUAUCAGAUGCAGUUCCCAGGUUGAGCCCGGGGAUUUCACAUCUGACUUAACAAACCGCCUGCGUGCGCUUUACGCCCAGUAAUUCCGAUUAACGCUUGCACCCUCCGUAUUACCGCGGCUGCUGGCACGGAGUUAGCCGGUGCUUCUUCUGCGGGUAACGUCAAUGAGCAAAGGUAUUAACUUUACUCCCUUCCUCCCCGCUGAAAGUACUUUACAACCCGAAGGCCUUCUUCAUACACGCGGCAUGGCUGCAUCAGGCUUGCGCCCAUUGUGCAAUAUUCCCCACUGCUGCCUCCCGUAGGAGUCUGGACCGUGUCUCAGUUCCAGUGUGGCUGGUCAUCCUCUCAGACCAGCUAGGGAUCGUCGCCUAGGUGAGCCGUUACCUCACCUACUAGCUAAUCCCAUCUGGGCACAUCCGAUGGUAAGAGGCCCGAAGGUCCCCCUCUUUGGUCUUGCGACGUUAUGCGGUAUUAGCUACCGUUUCCAGUAGUUAUCCCCCUCCAUCAGGCAGUUUCCCAGACAUUACUCACCCGUCCGCCACUCGUCAGCAAAGAAGCAAGCUUCUUCCUGUUACCGUUCGACUUGCAUGUGUUAGGCCUGCCGCCAGCGUUCAAUCUGAGCCAUGAUCAAACUCU
Molecule: ribosomal RNA, 1529 nt
Filed under: Shigella boydii 5216-82
Lineage: Bacteria; Pseudomonadati; Pseudomonadota; Gammaproteobacteria; Enterobacterales; Enterobacteriaceae
Description: 16S ribosomal RNA
Source: RNAcentral